Molecule: non-coding RNA, 24 nt
Filed under: Arabidopsis thaliana (thale cress)
Lineage: Eukaryota; Viridiplantae; Streptophyta; Magnoliopsida; Brassicales; Brassicaceae
Source: RNAcentral
GAAAGGUUGAUGAUUGCCUUGUUG